Non-coding RNA from Acanthosepion pharaonis, 103 nucleotides. NCBI's taxonomy places the organism in Eukaryota, Metazoa, Mollusca, Cephalopoda, Sepiida, Sepiidae. The record is from the annotation of a GenBank genome assembly.
CUACGACCAUAUCACGUCGAAACAUCUGUUCUCGUACGAUCAGAACAGUUAAGCAAUGUCGAGUUUUGUCAGUACCUAGAUGGGUGACCGCUUGGGAAAUUGG